UACGUAGGGGGCAAGCGUUGUCCGGAUUUAUUGGGCGUAAAGAGCGUGUAGGCGGCCAGGUAGGUCCGUUGUGAAAACUCGAGGCUCAACCUCGAGACGCCGAUGGAAACCAUCAGACUAGAGUCCGGAAGAGGAGAGUGGAAUUCCUGGUGUAGCGGUGAAAUGCGCAGAUAUCAGGAAGAACACCCGUGGCUAAGGCGGCUCUCUAGUACGGUACUGACGCUGAGACGCGAAAGCGUGGGGAGCGAACAGG
This 253-nucleotide ribosomal RNA is filed under the name uncultured bacterium. RNAcentral's name for it is "partial 16S ribosomal RNA". It matches the Rfam family "Bacterial small subunit ribosomal RNA", at positions 524 to 776 of the family's 1533-position model. The record is from RNAcentral.